RNAcentral lists this unclassified non-coding RNA (384 nucleotides) under Hevea brasiliensis (rubber tree). Lineage: Eukaryota; Viridiplantae; Streptophyta; Magnoliopsida; Malpighiales; Euphorbiaceae. The record is from RNAcentral.
AAAAAAAAAAAUCAGAUAGUUGCUAAAAAAUUAGAAAUGCCUCUCUUUCAUAAAAAAAUAUACGAAAUUCAAAAAUGAAACAAGCCUCUCAUGUCUCUCACCUCUCACAAUGAAACAAAAAGGUCCCUUGGAGAAGAUAUAGCUUUAAGAACAAGGGAUUUGCAUUUGAUUCGAUAAGAAUCGCGUUUAACAAAAGAGAAUAAUUCAAAGUAGGUCAUAGUGAAGCACAAUAACACUCAUGAUUGGCUUGGUAGGAAGCAAAGAGCAUUGAAGGUGUCUUUUAAAUUCUGGUUUUUUUAGCAUUUAUGCGUAUAAAAUUUUAUUUACAUAAAAAAUUAAAAUUUACGAGUAUAUUUUUAAAGUUCAAUAUAAAUUUGAAGUUUA